GGUAGGAGUGGCAACAAAUGCUGGGCUCAAAACACAGGGAUUUCUUUUUCUUUUAGACGUAUCUGGAAGAAUAGGAGAAUCGAAGAGAGACGAUAAGACGGUGAUAGUGGAGGAGGAUGAUGUCGACUCUAACUACCUGCACGUCCCCAGGUUCACAGAUUUAGAGCAGGAAGGAACCUUAAAGGCCAUAUAAUGUGGUAACUGGAAUUAUGAACUGAACCCCAAAAAUUGUUAAGGUGGGUAUGUGUUUUGACUAUACAGCAAAGGAUGAAAGAAUAAAAAUUUUCCAUUCUUUUAAAAAUAUUUAUUU
This 310-nucleotide long non-coding RNA is filed under the name Phascolarctos cinereus (koala). RNAcentral's name for it is "lncRNA (ENSPCIG00000032179.1)". Lineage: Eukaryota; Metazoa; Chordata; Mammalia; Diprotodontia; Phascolarctidae. The record is from RNAcentral.